Molecule: long non-coding RNA, 782 nt
Organism: Triticum aestivum (bread wheat)
Lineage: Eukaryota; Viridiplantae; Streptophyta; Magnoliopsida; Poales; Poaceae
Exons: 2
Source: RefSeq, a predicted model, not a curated record
UCUAUUUUUUAGUUAAAACAGAUAUGAUGCAUGUGCAACUGUACAUGCCAAGUUCUGAAGCUCAUAUGUUCCGUACAUAGUUUUAGUUAUGAAGCAAAUAGCUCAAGAUAUUUCAGAUUGGAAGAACUUAGUCUGUGACGUGUGAUGUUUUCUAAUGGCACUAAAUACUGUAUAAUUUAAGAUAUGAAUCAUUAAAAUUUGUUUUACUCAUACAAAACAGAAUGUGUCAUGAUAAUGUAAGCAUGCAACAUUGUACAACCAUAUAAUCUGUCAUUACUUUUUUUUGGGAACCAUAAGCAUGCAACAUUAUACUACCAAAAUAAUAAUUUGACUAUACAUUUGAUUAUUGCUUGCAUCCAUAUAUUUUUUCACUUUCGCUUUUGUUUUGUGUCCAGUAAACAGCAUCAAUCAUAGGGUAGGAAAGGCGCGCCAAGGCAUCGCCAAAGCCCAAGCCCGAGACUCCGGCCAAUCGAACUCGGCAGCCCCCGUCUUGGCGAUCUCGCGACUCUGGCCAUGUAGGAGCUCGGUCAAAAAUCACCUAAGAAAAAUAUGUCGUUCUUCUCUACAAGGGUUGCAUGUGGAAUCUGAGGAGAAUCUGUGCACCAGCGUCCGACUCCUUGAUGUUGCUCUGAUCAUAUUGUGUAAAUAUAUUUCUAAUAAAGCAAUCGCCCGAUGGUGUACAUGUUAGAAAUAACAAGAUGUAAUCAUCAAGUGUGAGAGAUGGCAACAUCAUGAUGGGAUGGUAUGUACUGUUGUGCUCAUCAAUAGAGUUAGAUCACUUU